CUUGCACGCUGGCGGCAGGCCUCACACAUGCAAGUCGAGCGAGCGGCGGACGGGUGAGUAAUGUCUGGUGACUCCCCGAUAGAGGGGGAUAACUACUGGAAACGGUAGCUAAUACCGCAUACUAUCGUAUCACCCAUAUGGGAUUAGCUAGUAGGUGAGGUAAUGGCUCACCUAGGCGACGAUCCCUAGCUUGUCUGAGAGGAUGCUCAGCCAAACUGGGACUGAGACACGGCCCAGACUCCUACGGAGGCAGCAGUGGGGAAUAUUGCACAAUGGGCGCAAGCCUGAUGCAGCCAUGCCGCGUGUAGGAAGAAGGCCCUAGGGUUGUAAAGUACUUUCAGUCGGGAGGCGUUACCGACAGAAGAAGCACCGGCUAACUCCGUGCCAGCAGCCGCGGUAAUAC
RNAcentral lists this ribosomal RNA (403 nucleotides) under uncultured bacterium. RNAcentral's name for it is "partial 16S ribosomal RNA". It matches the Rfam family "Bacterial small subunit ribosomal RNA", at positions 30 to 526 of the family's 1533-position model. The record is from RNAcentral.